GGGGCCAAGGUGUUGACGGGUGGCAUACUAGCUUUGCAAGCUUGGGGACUGGGUUCAAUUCCCAGUGGCUCCACCA
This 76-nucleotide transfer RNA is filed under the name Xanthomonas phage XacN1. RNAcentral's name for it is "tRNA-Ala". It matches the Rfam family "tRNA". Rfam says of the family: Transfer RNA (tRNA) molecules are approximately 80 nucleotides in length. Their secondary structure includes four short double-helical elements and three loops (D, anti-codon, and T loops). The record is from RNAcentral. Lineage: Duplodnaviria; Heunggongvirae; Uroviricota; Caudoviricetes.